AACGCGCGAACCGCUGCCUCAUACAACUUCACUCACAAUCUAACGUCAACUUUCCCUUUCCUGAAAUUUCGUGCCCGGUCUGCACAAACCCCGCUUUCUUCCGUUUUCCAUGUCAUUUCCUGUAAUAAAAAGAUGGUGGUCAUAGCAGAGAGAAGCAGCUGACUGUGGUACAAACAUUUGGAGAUGAUAAACUUUGCAUCGCCCGGGACUAGUGAAAUCCCCCCGUGCCGUUGCGUCACCGCCGCGUUUCUCGGAGCGGCCGAAGGCGAGGCGCGCCACGGCUGAAGAAGACCACCAAAGACCCCGCGACGCACUGCGUAUAUUCUGUAGACGUUUUAAUAUGUUGAAGUGAAACGAGGCAGACAGGAGUCUCUCCUUCCUGCCCAGAUGGCAGAUGCCUGUGUUGUUCCAGAGCAUUCCUCCAUGGAAGUUGAGGCCGAAUGCAGCACCAGUGCCUCAAAUGAGAAGUCAAUUGAAGAGCCAAACAAAAAACUAAAAGUUGACCAUGAGCAUUCAACCAGUUUUUGGUGUAAGUAUCAUUUACUUUAACUUGAAAUAAAAGUGUUGUG
RNAcentral lists this long non-coding RNA (569 nucleotides) under Sinocyclocheilus anshuiensis. RNAcentral's name for it is "lncRNA (ENSSANG00000008640.1)". The record is from RNAcentral. Lineage: Eukaryota; Metazoa; Chordata; Actinopteri; Cypriniformes; Cyprinidae.